UAAUGUAGUCUAUUUCUAGCUCCUUAGG
This 28-nucleotide small RNA is filed under the name Bombyx mori (domestic silkworm). RNAcentral's name for it is "ovarian small RNA-19825". The record is from RNAcentral. Lineage: Eukaryota; Metazoa; Arthropoda; Insecta; Lepidoptera; Bombycidae.